AGAGUUUGAUCCUGGCUCAGGACGAACGCUGGCGGCGUGCUUAACACAUGCAAGUCGAACGAAGAGCGAUGGAAGCUUGCUUCUAUCAAUCUUAGUGGCGAACGGGUGAGUAACGCGUAAUCAACCUGCCCUUCAGAGGGGGACAACAGUUGGAAACGACUGCUAAUACCGCAUACGAUCCAACCUCGGCAUCGAGGAUGGAUGAAAGGUGGCCUCUAUUUAUAAGCUAUCACUGAAGGAGGGGAUUGCGUCUGAUUAGCUAGUUGGAGGGGUAACGGCCCACCAAGGCAAUGAUCAGUAGCCGGUCUGAGAGGAUGAACGGCCACAUUGGGACUGAGACACGGCCCAGACUCCUACGGGAGGCAGCAGUGGGGAAUCUUCCGCAAUGGACGAAAGUCUGACGGAGCAACGCCGCGUGAGUGAUGACGGCCUUCGGGUUGUAAAGCUCUGUUAAUCGGGACGAAAGGUCCUCUUGCGAAUAGUUAGAGGAAUUGACGGUACCGGAAUAGAAAGCCACGGCUAACUACGUGCCAGCAGCCGCGGUAAUACGUAGGUGGCAAGCGUUGUCCGGAAUUAUUGGGCGUAAAGCGCGCGCAGGCGGAUCAGUUAGUCUGUCUUAAAAGUUCGGGGCUUAACCCCGUGAUGGGAUGGAAACUGCUGAUCUAGAGUAUCGGAGAGGAAAGUGGAAUUCCUAGUGUAGCGGUGAAAUGCGUAGAUAUUAGGAAGAACACCAGUGGCGAAGGCGACUUUCUGGACGAAAACUGACGCUGAGGCGCGAAAGCCAGGGGAGCGAACGGGAUUAGAUACCCCGGUAGUCCUGGCCGUAA
RNAcentral lists this ribosomal RNA (827 nucleotides) under uncultured bacterium. RNAcentral's name for it is "bacterial SSU rRNA". It matches the Rfam family "Bacterial small subunit ribosomal RNA", at positions 8 to 805 of the family's 1533-position model. The record is from RNAcentral.